UGUUGCAGAGUUAACCAAUUUCUCCAUUUAAUUGUCAAUUGAUUAACCUAUUGAAAUGGUAAGUGACUCAGUUUCCUUCCAGAACAAACAGCAGCCACAUAUUGUAGCUUCAUCCAGCUGGAGGGGGUACUCUGUGAUUUGCUCAGACUCAAUGUGCUGGUAUUUUUCUACACCUCCCUGAGCUUUUAAUUAGAUGAACCAAUUUUACAUGUAUUUGUCUGCUGGAAAGGUUAUCUGUGCUGGAGCUGACCUGCAGAGACAAGGUUGAGCCUAGCGGUCUUAAUAGAAAAGGUUUUCAGCUAUGACUGCUGUACUUGAUUGCAUUGUAAUGGAGGAAGAAUUCCCUCUACGUACUUCUGUUCCUUUUUAUCUGGAGGAUACUCCAUGCAAGAGCACAUUUUAAUGCUGUUUCCUUCCAGAACGAGCCUAAAACUGUGCUCUAAAAGGAAGAUUGCGACAUUCUUAAUUCAGUUUUUCAAGUCGGAAUUGGUUUCGUGCGGUUACAUUCAUAGGAAAAAGCGUGGAAAAAAAAAGAAAGAAAGGGAACGGUGUGCCUCGGCUGGGGAGCGUGGUGGAGGCAGACGGCUCGGAAGAGACCUGUCGCAACGCUUGACUCCUUCUGCUCGUGCAGGUUUGGCACUUAAGCUAAUUUGUAAGCAUUUAGGGCCGGACUCUGAUCUCCCUCCUGCCACAGCCGCUCCACAGAGGCUGGCGAGCGCUUCCCGGCAGACGUGAGGUGGGGAACCCUGCCGGCUGGAUUUGGCCCCGUCUCCGCUGUUUUGUGCUGCUGGGUGUGGGUGUAAUUCUGACAAAGCGAGGUGCCGAAGGUGGAGCAUCUUCAGCAGUGGCACUGCACAGCCACAGGGAUUAACCCCAAGGCCUCAUCCUGCCAGACGGGAUGCUCUCCCCGAGGCUGGCAGGCAGGGGAGGGCUUUCAGUACUUUCCUGUGCCUCCUGCAGGGCUCAGCUUGAGGCUUGCAGACACCAACAAUGAGCCCAUUUCCCUGGAGACACCAGCCCAUGUCCCUCCAGGGCAAAGCUGGCACAAAAGCCGCAGCUGAUGGUGCCUCGCCAGGGACAUGAGUGGCUGUGUUGGCACAUUGUGGAGCAUUGUGGACACCCAUUGUUGGGUCUGAAGCCAUCGUGGCAGGCCAGCUGAUGGGGCAGAGCUCCUGGGAACCUCUUCAUCGAUGCUGUGCCAUCCUUUGGGGUCUCCUUUCCUUCUCAAGAACUCCAAGCUGCUGCCCUCUACAUCUCACCUGCCCCCCUGUAGACCUUCUUUUCCUUGGUGGUCAUGGCACAUCUGUUGAUGGCAGUUUGAGUACGCCCACACCGGUUGAGCAGUUUCACUUCCAGGAUCACACAUUGGUGUUCAAAGACUUUACUCGUAUUGUGAUGACUGAUGGAGGACCCCCUGGUUGGGCUGAUGCUGAAACAUUUUAAACGUGUUCUCCAGAAAGCUGUAGGUUUCUAUCAUGAAAGUAGAGCAGGGAUCCUGCUCUUAAACCCAUCGCAUAUGUUCAAGAAAUCAAACAUUUUGUGGACAUCAAUGAGGAAAGCCCCAGUGAUGACUCUGCCAAGUUUUAAGGUGUCUAUUGAUCUACUCACUGAAUGCUUUUCCUCUUAGAGAUUUUUUUAUAGCAGAAUAUAACUCAAAGAAGAGAAAAGUGCACUUCCUGGGAGCCCGUCAUGUCGCUUUCUUAAAUCAAAAUAAUUUAUAAGAUCAACUCUUCCAUGGGAAUUAAUUCCUAUAACACUUGCUGGACAUUGAAGAGGGGGGAACAAAUGUUAAUAACACAAGUGUGUGGUUCCUAUGAGAGAAGUGUGCAUGAAACAGAGGAUGUGAAUCUGCUUCAGCCCCAGAAAGCUACAGAAAUCAAUGCUUCAUUCAAGGCUAUUGAUCAGUACUAAAUUAAUUAGACUUCAAGGCUUAUGGCAGUUGAUAAGACAACUUGUUAAUUUAGUCAAUGAUAGUGUUUUCCCUAAAGCAGCAAAUACCCUCUUUCUCAGAAAAGACAUUUCUAGCACUUGCUACCCGACUUUCCCCCCUCCCCCUUUUAUUAAAAAAAAAAAAAUCACUUUACAUUUAAAUUAAGAUAAGAAUUGGAUGGGGGAGAUACUUCCAUUUACCCCUAUUUGCCUUCUUUUGCUCUAACGUAGGAGCAGGGUGUUGAUAACAUCUGAUGUAAUUUAAUAGGACGGCAGCAUAACAUUUAGCUUCUUCGACCCCGGCCCAUUGACAGCGAUGUUCAUUUGGGAAAGCUGCUGGGGGGAGGAGGAGGAGGAGGGAGCAGACCCACUUUUUUCUAACCGCGUUUUUAAAAUGGCAAGCCCAGGGCUUCUGCUUCCCAGGCAAGAAGGAUGCUUGUUGCUGCUGACAAAGGCACGGGCGCUGCCGGUGCUGCAAGCCGUGAAUGCGACGAAGGUAUCCCAGAAUACCCCGGACACCGGGCCGUACUUCCUGCUGGCUGGGAAGGACAAAAGGACAAAGCCGAAGGAGUGCCGGGGUCCCACCACCAGCUCUUGGAGGCACCAGUCUGCCACCAGCAGCACUCCAACCCUCGGAGAAUGCUAAUAAGCCACUGAAGAGCUCGGCUUUCCUGCCAUAAUUCUAUAGCGCCGUCGAGGACCCCAUAGUGUUCACUAAAUAAAGACAACUAAUUGAGAAUUUUUUGCA
This 2677-nucleotide long non-coding RNA is filed under the name Anser brachyrhynchus (Pink-footed goose). RNAcentral's name for it is "lncRNA (ENSABRG00000013048.1)". Lineage: Eukaryota; Metazoa; Chordata; Aves; Anseriformes; Anatidae. The record is from RNAcentral.